This 253-nucleotide ribosomal RNA is filed under the name uncultured bacterium. RNAcentral's name for it is "partial 16S ribosomal RNA". It matches the Rfam family "Bacterial small subunit ribosomal RNA", at positions 524 to 776 of the family's 1533-position model. The record is from RNAcentral.
UACGUAGGGGGCUAGCGUUGUCCGGAUUUAUUGGGCGUAAAGAGCGUGUAGGCGGCCAGGUAGGUCUGCUGUGAAAACUCGAGGCUCAACCUCGAGCUGUCGGCGGAAACCAUCUGGCUAGAGUCCGGAAGAGGAGAGUGGAAUUCCCGGUGUAGCGGUGAAAUGCGCAGAUAUCGGGAAGAACACCCGUGGCUAAGGCGGCUCUCUAGUACGGUACUGACGCUGAGACGCGAAAGCGUGGGGAGCGAACAGG